Long non-coding RNA from Etheostoma cragini (Arkansas darter), 1996 nucleotides. RefSeq lists it as uncharacterized. The transcript has 2 exons. The record is from RefSeq and is a predicted model, not a curated record. NCBI's taxonomy places the organism in Eukaryota, Metazoa, Chordata, Actinopteri, Perciformes, Percidae.
CCGGCUGGAACAUUUCAGCCCGCCUGCCACGUCAGUUUGCCUCCACCAUCCUCCUGCUCUCACCCUGUCUCGCAAAAGGCGAACGACAUAAAAAUGCACCGCUUCCAUUUGGUGUUUGGACACACUGAGGCCACUGGACUGGAGAUCAUCUUUAGCAGUGGUAUUAUUAAGGGGUAUUUUUAUUUCACUGGAAGAAUGGAAACGAAAGAAUUUGACUGAGUCCUUGGAGGAAAAAAAAAAAUCAAGUGGGUAGCGACCCGCAGUUGUAAUGACCUCGGGGUCCUUCCUCCUAUCAGAGUCCUCCUCACCCCCCCGCCUGCCCAGUGUUCAGACUACCUGUUCAUCCGGCUACAGCUGAACAGUAGUCUGCACAUUGGUUAGGCUGGGCUGGGACACACACACACCUCCAGCCGCCGCCGGUGACACCCAAUCUCCACUUGGGAUAGUUUAUCCCAACAGUGCCAAAUGCAUUAUCUUCAUCUUUAUGCAUUCCUAUGGUGCUGUGUCAUCUUUUCUUAGCUAUCCAUAUCCCUAGUGUACAGUGAAAUACAGCACUGGAAAAGAACUUCUUCUCACCUCCUCAUCUUUGUACCAGGACAGGGACUCCGCAGUCAAGACAAACCAGUACUCCUUGGAUCCUCCUUUCAUGAUGCUGAUGUUGAUUGUUAGCCAGCCUUUCCUGAUCACCUACACAGCAAGGAGUAGAUAUAGGGGAGAGAAGGGUUGGCAGGGAGAGAGGAGUACCAGGAGGAUGAAGGAAAACAGUCAGGCUUAUGCACUGGUGACAAGAGGGCCCCAUAAGUGUUAAUGGGAUGGGACUGAAACUAAUAUCUUACCUGCUUCCCCACUCGGUUAAUGUCACCUUUGUAUCUCAUUAUUCAACAUUUUGUGUUUAUGCAACUAAUAUUACAUAAAUAUGCACUACAAUAUAGAAGUAUGGAUUAAACAAAGGGCAGUAAUACUAAAUGUGUAAUUUGGCUAAAUGUAAAAAAAAAAAAAAUCAACAAAUGGUUAAAUUGAAAACACUGAAAGGGGAUGUAGUUCUUGUUCUUCUUCCACUCAAUACAAAAUAAAUCCUUAAAACAACAAACAGGACGAGAUGGUGUCCAGACUAUAUGUCAGCCCUGACACAGAGUCAAAGACCAAAGGUCGACAAUGUUAUGUUAGUGGCAGUGGGUCAGUAAAAGCUCAGUAGUUUAAAGCAUGGAUAGUUGGGUUAACUGAACUCGGUUAUACAACGGUUUAGGCCAUGUCUCUCUAAUGAUUUCCAUGCAAUGGGGGAAGCAAUCUGUGAAAAGCGUGCUCUUGUGAUAAGUAAAGCGAAUGGGAAAUUUGAAAGUCUGCUUUAGACCUUGCUUCUGCACUCUUCCAUCCCGCGGACAACCGGAAUAAAGUAUGGGGGAGGGAAGGGUUCAUUAGGUCAAAACUGACAACAUAAACAUGGGAGAGGAGGAGAUCACAUAGGAGCUAAACUUGUAGUUUGCCUUGACGAGGAAAAAACUAAGAAAGCAAGGAGUUUUUAAUGCUCUAUAGUAAAGUCAGUUAGAAAUGUUCUAACCAAGUUGACAUUAAGAAAAAACGAGGUGUAAGGGUUUUACAGAUGACAUGCUUUAGGAAUAGACUGUCAAGAAACGUUUACAUACGAAUACAUUUCGGUUAUUGCCAGUGGUAAUUAAAGAUGUGCAAUUACAUCGGGAACUCCAAGGAUUCAAAGAAAAAAAAAUCUAUUUUUAAAUGAUUAGAAUGAAACAUGCCAAUUUAAAAUGAAUUAAGAUAGUUAGUAGGUUUUAAAAUUAAAGAUUUAUUACCAAGGAUCAAUGACUAAAUCAUUGAAAUUACAUCCCAAAGCCAUGACCCGUCACCAUACAAAAUAACACUUUUGUUCAGCUCUCCAUACAGAGAUAACAAUUAAACACUUGGAGACAGGUGGGUUUUUGGAUACCGGCAUGUACGUACUUUCUGUAGGAACUGUUUUAACAUGCAUGUAAUCUAAAAA